AUAACCCUUAAAGUGUUUCUAUUGUCCACUUAAUAAUUCUGUAAAGUAAGUAAAGAUUUUGAUAAUCCUUUAAUUGCUUUUACGUAACUAAAUAAAAUAUAUGUCAAUCAUAUAAAUCUAUAACAUAAAAAGAAAAUAGUUGACCAAUAAAAAGUAACUUUAGAAAAUUCAAAAUUGACGCUUAAAUUUCAUAGGUGAAUAAAAUAAUUCCAAUCAGCACGUGAAGUUGGGGUUAAAAAGGGAAGACCGCAACCUCCCAACAUCACAUAUCACACUUAAAUGUAGAUAGCUGUUUGGAAUAAAUAAUUGAAACAUCAUUGUAUUUUAUUCACCAGGUAUGUAAAUUGUUAACGUAUAAACUAUUUUCAAUUGAAUUUUAAAAGUAAGAAUUUAUCUUCUGAUUUAAUAACUUAGUUUCGUAUUUAAAACUUAACAUAAAUUUGUAAAAGAUUUUCAUUAAAACAAAUAAGUUAAAACAAAGUUUACUAUUUGAUCAAUAGAUCACAUAUCACACUUAAAUGUAGAUAGCUGUUUGGAAUAAAUAAUUGAAACAUCAUUGUAUUUUAUUCACCAGCGCCGGCCUCGAAAGGAGAAAGUGUCCGAGAUGAGGGACUCGCCAGAAGAAGGCAUAACAUAGACCUGAACAUGAGCGAGUUAGUAUUCCCCAGAUUCUCCGAAAGAAGCUAGAAUCCCCAUAUACAUAAUAGCGAGACAAAGAAGUCCCCAGUGAAAGAUGUCAGUCCCCCGAUACUUAAGUGUUAUUAACGUUUUGGAGGGAAAGGGGAGACAACCCGACAGUGA
RNAcentral lists this long non-coding RNA (801 nucleotides) under Mytilus galloprovincialis (Mediterranean mussel). The record is from RNAcentral. Lineage: Eukaryota; Metazoa; Mollusca; Bivalvia; Mytilida; Mytilidae.